Molecule: ribosomal RNA, 485 nt
Filed under: uncultured bacterium
Lineage: Bacteria
Description: partial 16S ribosomal RNA
Rfam family: Bacterial small subunit ribosomal RNA
Source: RNAcentral
UUGAACGCUGGCGGCAUGCUUUACACAUGCAAGUCGAGCGGCAGCGCGGGGGCAACCCUGGCGGCGAGCGGCGAACGGGUGAGUAAUGCAUCGGAACGUAUCCUCGAGUGGGGGAUAACCCAGCGAAAGUUGGGCUAAUACCGCAUGAGCUCUGAGGAGGAAAGCGGGGGACCUGCGAGGGCCUCGCGCUGGAGGAGCGGCCGAUGUCCGAUUAGCUAGUUGGUGGGGUAAAGGCUUACCAAGGCGACGAUCGGUAGCUGGUCUGAGAGGAUGAUCAGCCACACUGGGACUGAGACACGGCCCAGACUCCUACGGGAGGCAGCAGUGGGGAAUUUUGGACAAUGGGGGCAACCCUGAUCCAGCCAUGCCGCGUGAGUGAAGAAGGCCUUCGGGUUGUAAAGCUCCUUCGGACGGAACGAAAUGGGCGGGACUAAUACUCCUGUCUGAUGACGGUACCGUAAGAAGAAGCACCGGCUAACUACGUG